AGUGGCGCACGGGUGAGUAACGCGUGGGUAAUCUACCUCCGAAUUGGGAUAACAUUGCGAAAGCGGUGCUAAUACCGAAUAAUAUCCCUGGGACCCCGGUCUUGGUGAUCAAAGGUGGCCUCUACAUGUAAGCUACCGUUUGGAGAUGAGCCCGCGUACCAUUAGCUAGUUGGUAGGGUAACGGCCUACCAAGGCUGCGAUGGUUAGCUGGUCUGAGAGGAUGAUCAGCCACACUGGAACUGACACACGGUCCAGACUCCUACGGGAGGCAGCAGUGAGGAAUUUUGCGCAAUGGGGGAAACCCUGACGCAGCAACGCCGCGUGAGUGAUGAAGGCCUUCGGGUCGUAAAGCUCUGUCAAGUGGGAAGAACCUGCUCUGUGAUAACACCACGGGGCACCGACGGUACCACUGAAGGAAGCACCGGCUAACUCCGUGCCAGCAGCCGCGGUAAUACGGGGGGUGCUAGCGUUAUUCGGAAUCAUUGGGCGUAAAGGGCGCGUAGGCGGUCUUUUAAGUCAGAUGUGAAAGCCCUCGGCUUAACCGAGGAAGUGCAUUUGAUACUAAGAGCUUGAGUAUGGGAGAGGGAAGCGGAAUUCCUGGUGUAGCGGUGAAAUGCGUAGAUAUCAGGAGGAACACCGGUGGCGAAGGCGGCUUCCUGGACCAAUACUGACGCUGAGGCGCGAAGGCGUGGGGAGCAAA
This 700-nucleotide ribosomal RNA is filed under the name uncultured bacterium. RNAcentral's name for it is "bacterial SSU rRNA". It matches the Rfam family "Bacterial small subunit ribosomal RNA", at positions 94 to 772 of the family's 1533-position model. The record is from RNAcentral.